This 892-nucleotide ribosomal RNA is filed under the name uncultured bacterium. RNAcentral describes it as "bacterial SSU rRNA". It matches the Rfam family "Bacterial small subunit ribosomal RNA", at positions 20 to 906 of the family's 1533-position model. The record is from RNAcentral.
UGGCUCAGAAUGAACGCGGGCGGCGUGCNUAACACAUGCAAGUCGGAUGUGCCGCAAGGUGCAUGGCAGACGGGUGAGUAACGCGUAGGGAAUCUACCUCUUUGUGGGGAAUAACGCUCCGAAAGGAGUGGUAAUACCGCAUGAGACCGCGAGCUGGGAUGCUCGUGGUGAAACCUGGGGACCGCAAGGCCUGGGGCAAGGAGAGGAUCCUGCGUCUGAUUAGCUAGUUGGCGGGGUAAUGGCCCACCAAGGCGACGAUCAGUAGCCGGCCUGAGAGGGUGAUCGGCCACACUGGAACUGAGACACGGUCCAGACUCCUACGGGAGGCAGCAGUGGGGAAUUUUGCGCAAUGGACGAAAGUCUGACGCAGCAACGCCGCGUGGGUGAUGAAGGUCUUCGGACUGUAAAACCCUGUCGUCAGGGACGAAGGUUUGGGGGUUAAUAACCCUUAAGCUUGACGGUACCUGGAGAGGAAGCCCCGGCUAACUCUGUGCCAGCAGCCGCGGUAAUACAGAGGGGGCAAGCGUUAUUCGGAAUUAUUGGGCGUAAAGGGCGCGUAGGCGGUUUUUUAAGUCAGAUGUGUAAUCCCCGAGCUUAACUUGGGAACUGCAUCUGAGACUGGAAGGCUAGAGUACUGGAGAGGGUGGUGGAAUUCCUCGUGUAGCGGUGAAAUGCGUAGAGAUGAGGAGGAACACCAGUGGCGAAGGCGGCCACCUGGACAGUAACUGACGCUGAGGCGCGAAAGUGUGGGUAGCAAACAGGAUUAGAUACCCUGGUAGUCCACGCUGUAAACGAUGAACACUUGGUGUGGAGGGAGUUGACCCCUUCCGUGCCGGAGCUAACGCGUUAAGUGUUCCGCCUGGGGAGUACGGUCGCAAGGCUGAACUCAAAU